Molecule: ribosomal RNA, 433 nt
Filed under: uncultured Lachnospiraceae bacterium
Lineage: Bacteria; Bacillati; Bacillota; Clostridia; Lachnospirales; Lachnospiraceae
Description: bacterial SSU rRNA
Rfam family: Bacterial small subunit ribosomal RNA
Source: RNAcentral
ACGGAAGGCAGCAGUGGGGAAUAUUGGACAAUGGGGGAAACCCUGAUCCAGCGACGCCGCGUGAGUGAAGAAGUAUUUCGGUAUGUAAAGCUCUAUCAGCAGGGAGAUAAUGACGGUACCUGACUAAGAAGCCCCGGCUAACUACGUGCCAGCAGCCGCGGUAAUACGUAGGGGGCAAGCGUUAUCCCGAUUUACUGGGUGUAAAGGGAGCGUAGACGGCAUGGCAAGUCUGAUGUGAAAACCCGAGGCUCAACCUCAGGACUGCAUUGGAAACUUUCAGGCUUGAGUGCAGGAGAGGUAAGUGGAAUUCCUAGUGUAGCGGUGAAAUGCGUAGAUAUUAGGAGGAACACCAGUGGCGAAGGCGGCUUACUGGACUGUAACUGACGUUGAGGCUCGAAAGCGUGGGGAGCAAACAGGAUUAGAUACCCUGGUA